UGGGGAAUAUUGGACAAUGGGGGCAACCCUGAUCCAGCGAUGCCGCGUGUGUGAAGAAGGCCUGCGGGUUGUAAAGCCCUUUUGGUUGGAGAGAGAGUUAGCGGUUUAAGAGAUAGCUAAUGAGACAUGUCCGACAGAAAAAGCACUGGCUAACUCUGUGCCAGCAGCCGCGGUAAUACAGAGAGUGCAAGCGUUAAUCGGAAUUACUGGGCGUAAAGGGCGCGUAGGUAGGCCACGACGUCAGAUGUGAAAUACCCGGGCUUAACCCGGGGAGGUCGUCUGGGACUCGUAGUCUAGAGUCUGGGAGAGGUCAGUGGAAUUUCCGGUGUAGCGGUGAAAUGCGUAGAUAUCGGAAGGAACACCGGUUGCGAAGGCGGCUGACUGGCCCAAGACUGACACUGAGGCGCGAAAGCGUGGGUAGCGAACAG
This 428-nucleotide ribosomal RNA is filed under the name uncultured bacterium. Its description in RNAcentral is "bacterial SSU rRNA". It matches the Rfam family "Bacterial small subunit ribosomal RNA", at positions 355 to 775 of the family's 1533-position model. The record is from RNAcentral.